Molecule: transfer RNA, 70 nt
Filed under: Stegodyphus mimosarum
Lineage: Eukaryota; Metazoa; Arthropoda; Arachnida; Araneae; Eresidae
Rfam family: tRNA
About the family: Transfer RNA (tRNA) molecules are approximately 80 nucleotides in length. Their secondary structure includes four short double-helical elements and three loops (D, anti-codon, and T loops).
Source: Rfam by way of RNAcentral
GCCUUCAUGGUGUAACGGUAGCACACUCGGCGCGUUUCAAGAGGUCCAGGUUAGAAUCCCGGCGAGGGCA